CUGUACAUUGGGAAAGGUGCCGAGACAUGAACUUUGGUCUUCUCUGCAAUCCAUCUGGAGCAUUCAGUGACAACAUCGACUUUGAAGUUGCACUGACCUGGCCAGCCCUGCCACUUACCAGGUUGGGCUGUGGCUUGCCUUUUCACUUCUUGUGUCCUGUUUAAGAAAUAUCUACUAUCCCAAGAUAACACUAACAAAGUUGACCUUAGAAUUGGAGUGCCUGGGUUAGAACCCUGCUGGUACCACCUGCUUACUGCAUGCUUCUGAUGUGAGUUCAGGAGAAGACACUGGCAAGGACAGCAAAGAACAGGAGAACACUCUAGCUUCCCUGAUAGCAUUCAAGGUGCUGUCCAAAGCUCUUGAGUUUCUGCUUUCAAGUGACCCUCAGAAAUUCCCCCAUUCACUGCAGAGGUUCUGUUUCUCCUUGCUUUGUUCUGACUUUACGGCAGAACUAAGCUGAUGAGUUAGUUACUAUGGGUUAUCACUUGGAUUUGAAGAACCAUCAUUUCUAGGCAUUGCUGCUCAGAGUGGGUCUGCCCUCAGGGGAAGCUGUCUAACCAGAGCCUAACCCACUAGGGUUUUAUCAGAACCUAACUGACCUGAGGAAAAGAAAUAUUCAACUCCAGCAAGCUCCAGCCUUCCAAAUGGAGGAGAAGAAAACCCAACUCCAGCCCACUUCAGCUAUCUUGUCCCACAUAAAGGGGAAGUGGAAGAAACCUGAGAAGCAGGCAUGAAGUUCACAGUCCAGAGGUACAGACACAUCAGAGUUCAGUAUCUGAUGAAUUAGAUGCAAAAACCUCAACAAAGUAUUAGCAAAUUGAAUUCAACAAUGUAUGAAAAUUAUUACAUGCCAUGACUAAUUGGAAUUUAUCUCAGGUAUACAAGCCAUGCUGAACAUCUGAAAAUCAAUUCAUGUGAUCCAUCACAUUAGCAGACUCAAGAAAAAAAACCACAUUAUCAUAUCAGUAGAUGUA
This 974-nucleotide long non-coding RNA is filed under the name Pan troglodytes (chimpanzee). Its description in RNAcentral is "lincRNA". Lineage: Eukaryota; Metazoa; Chordata; Mammalia; Primates; Hominidae. The record is from RNAcentral.